RNAcentral lists this ribosomal RNA (489 nucleotides) under Bacillus subtilis. RNAcentral's name for it is "bacterial SSU rRNA". It matches the Rfam family "Bacterial small subunit ribosomal RNA", at positions 394 to 873 of the family's 1533-position model. Lineage: Bacteria; Bacillati; Bacillota; Bacilli; Caryophanales; Bacillaceae. The record is from RNAcentral.
ACGCCGCGUGAGUGAUGAAGGUUUUCGGAUCGUAAAGCUCUGUUGUUAGGGAAGAACAAGUACCGUUCGAAUAGGGCGGUACCUUGACGGUACCUAACCAGAAAGCCACGGCUAACUACGUGCCAGCAGCCGCGGUAAUACGUAGGUGGCAAGCGUUGUCCGGAAUUAUUGGGCGUAAAGGGCUCGCAGGCGGUUUCUUAAGUCUGAUGUGAAAGCCCCCGGCUCAACCGGGGAGGGUCAUUGGAAACUGGGGAACUUGAGUGCAGAAGAGGAGAGUGGAAUUCCACGUGUAGCGGUGAAAUGCGUAAAGAUGUGGAGGAACACCAGUGGCGAAGGCGACUCUCUGGUCUGUAACUGACGCUGAGGAGCGAAAGCGUGGGGAGCGAACAGGAUUAGAUACCCUGGUAGUCCACGCCGUAAACGAUGAGUGCUAAGUGUUAGGGGGUUUCCGCCCCUUAGUGCUGCAGCUAACGCAUUAAGCACUCCGCC